CAAUGUGGGGUUCACGUGUGUAUCAUCGUUUUCUGUUUAUGUCUUCACGGGCUUUGCAUUUUGGCUGGAAAAUCGUCUAGGGUUGCGUACCUCAUCUUCCAGAUUCUUCGUCGACUGAGACGCUCCCAAUUCCUAACUCCUAAGUUUCGUUUUUCAAACUCGAUCUCUUCGACUCCUCCACGUUCACUACCGAUUUCGCGAUAUGUCUUCCUGUAACGGAUUCUCUAGCCUAAUUUAUAUAGAGUUCCUUGAAGGAGUUGGUCGAUCGAUAUGAUUUCUACCCGAACUAAAUUUUCGUCGUUGACUGAGGAUGGUCCGGUCGUGUUAAUGCAACUGGAAUGAACGGAAGGAUGAAGAGAACUGAUUCCAUUGAACAAUGAGUUAGAGGCGGGAGAUACAGACACAGGAAGAGGCAACUCUUCCUGUGAGACGCCUUCCAAUUGGCAGCCAAAACCCAGAAAGAGGUGUUGUGAGAUGGCCCAGCUGGAUUAGGAAGAAUGUCUAGCAGCCGCAGCUAAAGUCGUUGUUGCUUAGAUUUAUGCAAGAAUCUUUUUCCGGGAGAGGUGUUUACGUUUGGGUAAGAGGUUAGAGGCUUCUACGAGUGUAGGACAGGAGUCAGAAGACAAGGUGAUGGUUACUAACUAAUCCCACGACUAGGAAAAAGUAUAAGCAUAAGGCGAUCGGUCAUGCCGGACAUGUUAUUGAUCCUGGCCGUAUGCGAGGAAGAUGAAUCAUUCUAUAUCUAUCAGUAGCUUAACUCUCUUCACAUCCAAUACAAUGUGUUUACAGUUCUCUUUAUCUUGACUUUGUUGUUGUUGGUUGUUUAUCUAAUGAAUAAGAAAUCCAAAGUCAUGUAAAAAUUAAGUUCCAACAAAUGAUUACCGAGAUUGUAUGUUAUAGUUACUAAUA
Long non-coding RNA from Brassica napus (rape), 909 nucleotides. RefSeq lists it as uncharacterized. The transcript is spliced from 4 exons. Lineage: Eukaryota; Viridiplantae; Streptophyta; Magnoliopsida; Brassicales; Brassicaceae. The record is from RefSeq and is a predicted model, not a curated record.